This 227-nucleotide long non-coding RNA is filed under the name Prunus persica (peach). Its description in RNAcentral is "long non-coding RNA (PPER_LNC006570)". Lineage: Eukaryota; Viridiplantae; Streptophyta; Magnoliopsida; Rosales; Rosaceae. The record is from RNAcentral.
GAACCAUCAUCAAAAUAAAAAAUGGCAUGGGAAGGAAGAAAAAAAAAAGGGGGGGCCAAGGAAGAAAAGGAAGAAGAAAACACGAAUGAGAGAAGAGGAAGGAAGAAAGAAAAAGAAAAUAAAAAAAAAGUUAGUUUUAGUCUUUAAAAAAUAUAAGAAUUUUAUUUAUUUAUAGUCAAAAUCUUUAAUUAAAAUUAACUAUUAAAAUAAUUAUUUUUUAGUUCGAC